This 301-nucleotide ribosomal RNA is filed under the name uncultured bacterium. RNAcentral's name for it is "partial 16S ribosomal RNA". It matches the Rfam family "Bacterial small subunit ribosomal RNA", at positions 509 to 809 of the family's 1533-position model. The record is from RNAcentral.
CAGUCGCCGCGGUAAUACGUAGGUGGCAAGCGUCGUCCGGAAUUAUUGGGCGUAAAGGGCUCGCAGGCGGUUUCUUAAGUCUGAUGUGAAAGCCCCCGGCUCAACCGGGGAGGGUCAUUGGAAACUGGGAAACUUGAGUGCAGAAGAGGAGAGUGGAAUUCCACGUGUAGCGGUGAAAUGCGUAGAGAUGUGGAGGAACACCAGUGGCGAAGGCGACUCUCUGGUCUGUAACUGACGCUGAGGAGCGAAAGCGUGGGGAGCGAACAGGAUUAGAUACCCCGGUAGUCCCUGUCUCUUAUAA